This 158-nucleotide ribosomal RNA is filed under the name Yamadazyma olivae. RNAcentral describes it as "5.8S ribosomal RNA". It matches the Rfam family "5.8S ribosomal RNA". Rfam says of the family: 5.8S ribosomal RNA (5.8S rRNA) is a component of the large subunit of the eukaryotic ribosome. It is transcribed by RNA polymerase I as part of the 45S precursor that also contains 18S and 28S rRNA. The record is from RNAcentral. Lineage: Eukaryota; Fungi; Ascomycota; Pichiomycetes; Serinales; Debaryomycetaceae.
AAACUUUCAACAACGGAUCUCUUGGUUCUCGCAUCGAUGAAGAACGCAGCGAAAUGCGAUAAGUAAUAUGAAUUGCAGAUUUUCGUGAAUCAUCGAAUCUUUGAACGCACAUUGCGGCCUCUGGUAUUCCAGAGGCCAUGCCUGUUUGAGCGUCAUUU